GAUCAUGGCUCAGGAUGAACGCUAGCUACAGGCUUAACACAUGCAAGUCGAGGGGCAGCAUGGUCUAGCAAUAGACUGAUGGCGACCGGCGCACGGGUGAGUAACACGUAUCCAACCUACCGGUUAUUCUGGGAUAGCCUUUCGAAAGAAAGAUUAAUACCGGAUAGUAUAACGAGAAGGCAUCUUCUUGUUAUUAAAGAAUUUCGAUAACCGAUGGGGAUGCGUUCCAUUAGUUUGUUGGCGGGG
This 246-nucleotide ribosomal RNA is filed under the name uncultured bacterium. Its description in RNAcentral is "partial 16S ribosomal RNA". It matches the Rfam family "Bacterial small subunit ribosomal RNA", at positions 15 to 257 of the family's 1533-position model. The record is from RNAcentral.